Molecule: ribosomal RNA, 429 nt
Filed under: Bacteroidota bacterium
Lineage: Bacteria; Pseudomonadati; Bacteroidota
Description: Bacteroidetes bacterium partial 16S ribosomal RNA
Rfam family: Bacterial small subunit ribosomal RNA
Source: RNAcentral
UAGGUAAUCUUCGGCAAUGGGGGGAACCCUGACCGAGCAACGCCGCGUGAGUGAAGAAGGUUUUCGGAUCGUAAAGCUCUGUUGUUAAGGAAGAACGAGUGUGAGAAUGGAAAGUUCAUGCUGUGACGGUACUUAACCAGAAAGGGACGGCUAACUACGUGCCAGCAGCCGCGGUAAUACGUAGGUCCCGAGCGUUGUCCGGAUUUAUUGGGCGUAAAGCGAGCGCAGGCGGUUAGAAAAGUCUGAAGUGAAAGGCAGUGGCUCAACCAUUGUAGGCUUUGGAAACUGUUUAACUUGAGUGCAGAAGGGGAGAGUGGAAUUCCAUGUGUAACGGUGAAAUGCGUAGAUAUAUGGAGGAACACCGGUGGCGAAAGCGGCUCUCUGGUCUGUAACUGACGCUGAGGCUCGAAAGCGUGGGGAGCGAACAGG